GACGAACGCUGGCGGCGUGCUUAACACAUGCAAGUCGAACAUUGGCGAACGGGUGAGUAACACGUGAGUAACCUGCCCUCCACUUUGGGCUAACUCCGAGAAAUCGGGGCUAAUACUUGAUAGUGGGGGGUGGGCUCGCGGCCUAUCAGUUUGUGGGUUAGGUAGUGGUCACCAAGGCGUGACGGGUAGCCGGCCUGAGAGGGCGACCGGCCACACUGGGACUGAGACACGGCCCAGACUCCUACGGGAGGCAGCAGUGGGGAAUAUUGCACAAUGGGCGAAAGGCUGAUGCAGCGACGCCGCUUGGGGGAUGACGGCCUUCGGGUUGUAAACCUCUGACAGCAAGGAAGCGGUACUUGCAGAAGAAGCGCCGGCUAACUACGUGCCAGCCGCCGCGGUAAUAC
RNAcentral lists this ribosomal RNA (404 nucleotides) under uncultured bacterium. Its description in RNAcentral is "partial 16S ribosomal RNA". It matches the Rfam family "Bacterial small subunit ribosomal RNA", at positions 28 to 526 of the family's 1533-position model. The record is from RNAcentral.